GAUGAACGCUGGCGGCGUGCCUAAUACAUGCAAGUCGAGCGAACGGACGAGAAGCUUGCUUCUCUGAUGUUAGCGGCGGACGGGUGAGUAACACGUGGAUAACCUACCUAUAAGACUAGGAUAACUUCGGGAAACCGGAGCUAAUACCGGAUGAUAUUUUGAACCGCAUGGUUCAAAAGUGAAAGACGGUCUUGCUGUCACUUAUAGAUGGAUCCGCGCUGCAUUAGCUAGUUGGUAAGGUAACGGCUUACCAAGGCAACGAUGCAUAGACGACCUGAGAGGGUGAUCGGCCACACUGGAACUGGGACACGGUCCAGACUCCUACGGGAGGCAGCAGUAGGGAAUCUUCCGCAAUGGGCGAAAGCCUGACGGAGCAACGCCGCGUGAGUGAUGAAGGUCUGCGGAUCGUAAAACUCUGUUAUUAGGGAAGAACAUAUGUGUAAGUAACUGUGCACAUCUUGACGGUACCUAAUCAGAAAGCCACGGCUAACUACGUG
This 497-nucleotide ribosomal RNA is filed under the name uncultured bacterium. RNAcentral's name for it is "partial 16S ribosomal RNA". It matches the Rfam family "Bacterial small subunit ribosomal RNA", at positions 28 to 507 of the family's 1533-position model. The record is from RNAcentral.